This 413-nucleotide long non-coding RNA is filed under the name Salarias fasciatus (jewelled blenny). RNAcentral describes it as "lncRNA (ENSSFAG00005005594.1)". The record is from RNAcentral. Lineage: Eukaryota; Metazoa; Chordata; Actinopteri; Blenniiformes; Blenniidae.
UGCUCGUGCGUCAGAUCUUUCAUUGUCUCCUCUGUUUUCGUUCCCAGGUUCGAAAUCCGCAACGGCAACAGCCUGCGUUUGUUCCGCGUGAAAGAGCAGGAUGAAGGGACGUAUACCUGCACGUCUGAGAACAGCGUGGGCAAGACGGAGGCCUCGGCCAUGCUGCAGGUCCACGUGCCGCCUCAGAUUGCUGCCAAGCCACGAGACCAGAUUGCCACCCAGGGAAGGAGCAUCACCUUCCAGUGCGGCACCACAGGAAACCCUCCACCUGCCAUUUUCUGGCAGAAAGAGGGCAGCCAGAUGCUGUUGUUCCCGGGCCAGCCGCCGUCACAGUCGGGCCGUUACUCCGUCUCCAUGAGCGGAGAGCUGACCAUCACCGACGUCCACCCCGAGGACUCGGGCUUCUAUAUCUG